Molecule: ribosomal RNA, 521 nt
Filed under: Sus scrofa (pig)
Lineage: Eukaryota; Metazoa; Chordata; Mammalia; Artiodactyla; Suidae
Description: partial 16S ribosomal RNA
Rfam family: Bacterial large subunit ribosomal RNA
Source: RNAcentral
CCAGUUUAACGGCCGCGGUAUUCUGACCGUGCAAAGGUAGCAUAAUCACUUGUUCUCCAAAUAAGGACUUGUAUGAAUGGCCACACGAGGGUUUUACUGUCUCUUACUUCCAAUCAGUGAAAUUGACCUUCCCGUGAAGAGGCGGGAAUAAAAAAAUAAGACGAGAAGACCCUAUGGAGCUUUAAUUAACUAUUCCAAAAGUUAAACAAUUCAACCACAAAGGGAUAAAACAUAACUUAACAUGGACUAGCAAUUUCGGUUGGGGUGACCUCGGAGUACAAAAAACCCUCCGAGUGAUUUUAAUCUAGACAAACCAGUCAAAAUAACCAUAACAUCACUUAUUGAUCCAAAACUUUGAUCAACGGAACAAGUUACCCUAGGGAUAACAGCGCAAUCCUAUUCUAGAGUUCCUAUCGACAAUAGGGUUUACGACCUCGAUGUUGGAUCAGGACACCCAAAUGGUGCAACCGCUAUUAAAGGUUCGUUUGUUCAACGAUUAAAGUCCUACGUGAUCUGAGCAA